CAAGUUUUUAAGGGCGCACGGUGGAUGCCUUGGCACCAGGAACCGAUGAAGGACGUGGGAGGCCACGAUAGUCCCCGGGGAGCUGUCAACCAAGCUUUGAUCCGGGGGUUUCCGAAUGGGGAAACCCGGCAGUCGUCAUGGGCUGUCACCCGCUGCUGAACACAUAGGCAGUGUGGAGGGAACGAGGGGAAGUGAAACAUCUCAGUACCCUCAGGAAGAGAAAACAACCGUGAUUCCGGGAGUAGUGGCGAGCGAAACUGGAUGAGGCCAAACCGUAUGCGUGUGAUACCCGGCAGGGGUUGCGCAUGCGGGGUUGUGGGAUCUCUCUUUCACAGUCUGCCGGCUGUGAGACGAGUCAGAAACCGUUGAUGUAGGCGAAGGACAUGCGAAAGGUCCGGCGUAGAGGGUAAGACCCCCGUAGCUGAAACAUCAGCGGCUUGUUUGAGAGACACCCAAGUAGCACGGGGCCCGAGAAAUCCCGUGUGAAUCUGGCGGGACCACCCGCUAAGCCUAAAUAUUCCCUGGUGACCGAUAGCGGAUAGUACCGUGAGGGAAUGGUGAAAAGUACCGCGGGAGCGGAGUGAAAUAGUACCUGAAACCGUGUGCCUACAAGCCGUGGGAGCGUCGCGCAUCGAGCUUGCUCGGUGCGUCGUGACUGCGUGCCUUUUGAAGAAUGAGCCUGCGAGUUAGCGGUGUGUAGCGAGGUUAACCCGUGUGGGGAAGCCGUAGCGAAAGCGAGUCCGAACAGGGCGUUUGAGUUGCACGCUCUAGACCCGAAGCGGAGUGAUCUAGCCAUGGGCAGGUUGAAGCGGAGGUAAGACUUCGUGGAGGACCGAACCCACCAGGGUUGAAAACCUGGGGGAUGACCUGUGGUUAGGGGUGAAAGGCCAAUCAAACUCCGUGAUAGCUGGUUCUCCCCGAAAUGCAUUUAGGUGCAGCGUCGUGUGUUUCUUGCCGGAGGUAGAGCACUGGAUAGGCGAUGGGCCCUACCGGGUUACUGACCUUAGCCAAACUCCGAAUGCCGGUAAGUGAGAGCGCGGCAGUGAGACUGUGGGGGAUAAGCUCCAUGGUCGAGAGGGAAACAGCCCAGAGCAUCGACUAAGGCCCCUAAGCGUACGCUAAGUGGGAAAGGAUGUGGAGUCGCAGAGACAACCAGGAGGUUGGCUUAGAAGCAGCCACCCUUGAAAGAGUGCGUAAUAGCUCACUGGUCAAGUGAUUCCGCGCCGACAAUGUAGCGGGGCUCAAGCGUACCGCCGAAGUCGUGUCAUUCACACAUAUAGGGCCAACGCCUGUGUGGAUGGGUAGGGGAGCGUCGUGUGCCGGGUGAAGCAGCCGCGGAAGCGAGUUGUGGACGGUUCACGAGUGAGAAUGCAGGCAUGAGUAGCGAUACACACGUGAGAAACGUGUGCGCCGAUUGACUAAGGGUUCCUGGGUCAAGCUGAUCUGCCCAGGGUAAGUCGGGACCUAAGGCGAGGCCGACAGGCGUAGUCGAUGGACAACCGGUUGAUAUUCCGGUACCCGCUUUGAAACGCCCAGUACUGAAUCAGGCGAUGCUAAGUCCGUGAAGCCGGCCCGAUCUCUUCGGAGUUGAGGGUAGUGGUGGAGCCGAUGAACCAGACUUGUAGUAGGUAAGCGAUGGGGUGACGCAGGAAGGUAGUCCAGCCCGGGCGGUGGUUGUCCCGGGGUAAGGGUGUAGGACGCACGGUAGGCAAAUCCGUCGUGCAUAUAGUCUGAGACCUGAUGCCGAGCCGAUUGUGGUGAAGUGGAUGAUCCUAUGCUGUCGAGAAAAGCCUCUAGCGAGUUUCAUGGCGGCCCGUACCCUAAACCGACUCAGGUGGUCAGGUAGAGAAUACCGAGGCGUUCGGGUGAACUAUGGUUAAGGAACUCGGCAAAAUGCCCCCGUAACUUCGGGAGAAGGGGGGCCAUCAC
This 1929-nucleotide ribosomal RNA is filed under the name Streptomyces sp. PgraA7. RNAcentral's name for it is "bacterial LSU rRNA". It matches the Rfam family "Bacterial large subunit ribosomal RNA", at positions 4 to 1757 of the family's 2925-position model. Lineage: Bacteria; Bacillati; Actinomycetota; Actinomycetes; Kitasatosporales; Streptomycetaceae. The record is from RNAcentral.